Molecule: ribosomal RNA, 253 nt
Filed under: uncultured bacterium
Lineage: Bacteria
Description: partial 16S ribosomal RNA
Rfam family: Bacterial small subunit ribosomal RNA
Source: RNAcentral
UACGUAGGGCGCAAGCGUUGUCCGGAAUUAUUGGGCGUAAAGAGCUCGUAGGCGGCCUGUUGCGUCCGCUGUGAAAUCCCGGGGCUCAACCCCGGGCCUGCAGUGGAUACGGGCUGGCUAGAGGCAGGCAGGGGAGAACGGAAUUCCUGGUGUAGCGGUGAAAUGCGCAGAUAUCAGGAGGAACACCGGUGGCGAAGGCGACUAUCUGGGCUGAAACUGACGCUGAGGCGCGAAGGCUAGGGGAGCAAACAGG